CCGGUAGCUAAAUGCGGAAGAGAUAAGUGCUGAAAGCAUCUAAGCACGAAACUUGCCCCGAGAUGAGUUCUCCCUGAGACUUUAAGUCUCCUGAAGGAACGUUAAAGACGAUGACGUUGAUAGGCCGGGUGUGUAAGCGCAGCGAUGCGUUGAGCUAACCGGUACUAAUGAACCGUGAGGCUUAACCUUACAACGCCGAAG
RNAcentral lists this ribosomal RNA (201 nucleotides) under Klebsiella pneumoniae. RNAcentral's name for it is "partial 23S ribosomal RNA". It matches the Rfam family "Bacterial large subunit ribosomal RNA", at positions 2742 to 2925 of the family's 2925-position model. The record is from RNAcentral. Lineage: Bacteria; Pseudomonadati; Pseudomonadota; Gammaproteobacteria; Enterobacterales; Enterobacteriaceae.